Molecule: long non-coding RNA, 191 nt
Organism: Triticum aestivum (bread wheat)
Lineage: Eukaryota; Viridiplantae; Streptophyta; Magnoliopsida; Poales; Poaceae
Exons: 4
Source: RefSeq, a predicted model, not a curated record
GCUCAACAGGAGUAGCUCGUGCUACGUCCACACCGCCGGAGAGGACGCCAAGAUGAGCAUGGAGGUGCAUGGGUUGCGCAUUCGGAUGAAGACUCAAUAGGUGGAGCAGCAAGAGGUGCCCCUCCGUAGGGCAGAUUUGUGGCCACACAUCUAUCACCAGCUGGUCCAUAUAGAGGAGGAGAUAAGAUACA